CUCCAUUUAUACCCCAAAUCAUUAUAUUGAUAUAUAAAACAAUAUGACAUUGAUUACUAACAAAUACAAUUGCUUGCAUGUAUAUUCAUUGAAGUAUUUUACCAUAAUUCUAAAAAAUGUGAUAUAAUCUUUAUGAAUUGUGUGUCCUCAACAAACAACCUCUGGUUACACCAUUUCCAUAUAACAUGACAUGAAGUUGCCCAGUCCCUUAAAGCAUGCAUAAUGGUUUCAUCUCUUCCUCCAUAUUCUGCACACUCUGCAUCAGUGAGCUACCUUUGAGCAAGGAAUAAAUUUGUUUACAACCCUUUAUGAUGAAAUAUAGCCAUAUGAACAUUCAUAUUCUUUUUAAAACAUUGAUCCUCCAAAUGUUCUUCCAAUCCUUCCCAAGAUCAUUUGUCGCUUUGUGUGUGCUUGUUGCAUUAGUAGUUGAUAUAGUGAAGCUUCCUAAAAGAAUUCAUCUUACCCUAAAUCUUGCCUUGGAGGAUGGAUAUCUACAAUUAGCUCCAAAAUUUCUAUCUUGAAGCAUGCCUACAAUGUUUUCUUAUCCCACCCCCCAUUUCCAUUAAUGAAUCAAACAACUUUGUAACUUUGAUGAGUAUUCAGGUUAACAUUGA
Molecule: long non-coding RNA, 614 nt
Organism: Vicia villosa (hairy vetch)
Lineage: Eukaryota; Viridiplantae; Streptophyta; Magnoliopsida; Fabales; Fabaceae
Exons: 3
Source: RefSeq, a predicted model, not a curated record